Long non-coding RNA from Tyto alba (common barn owl), 909 nucleotides. RefSeq lists it as uncharacterized. The transcript has 3 exons. NCBI's taxonomy places the organism in Eukaryota, Metazoa, Chordata, Aves, Strigiformes, Tytonidae. The record is from RefSeq and is a predicted model, not a curated record.
UCUAUCCAGUAUUUGGAAACAAACAAAAAAAGGGUUUCAGCGCCAAAAGAAAGGCUGUUUGUGUAAAAGGAGAAGGAAGAGUAAAAAAAAAAACGCAAACAGUGUGCGACUUACAAACAUUGUAUGAACAACGGACAUUACACUAGAACCCUUCUAUAAUCUGAAAGAUCACUCGCAGGAGAACUGAAGGAGAAAACUGGAGACAGUGAGUCCAUCCCUGAUAAACAGAAAAAAAAAGUACUACAGCAAUCAGAACAUGAAAAAGCAAAGAAGUAUGCAAGAGGCUAGAGAAGCAGCAACUUUAUGCAGCGCAAAGAUCACAGUAAAGAUGAAGAUGCCAGACAAGUACAGAGCAUCCAAGUACAGCAGGCAAUAUUAACAAAGUGAGAGAGGGAGGGUGCAGUGGCAGUGGUGAGACAGAGAGAGAGUAUGUGUAUUUGCUUGUGCAUAAAUAUAUGCACAAGCGUGCAUGCCGGUAAGAAGUCUUUUUGACACUUCUUUUAAAUGGAAAUUUGGUGGACAGGGUAGCUAACAAAAAACACUAAAUAAAUACUACAGGUACAAAUUUUACUUACAUAAAAUACUGCAGAAAGUUACUAUGGAUUAAAUCUUUCUGCUAAAUCAGUAAAACGACUAUGCUUUGAUGUGUUAACCUGUUAAUAGUAUCAACUUCUCUCCUAUAUCAAGGGUCCAAGAAUUCACAGAUGGCUGUAGCUUGUUUAUAUAACAGUUACCAUGUAAAGAAAUUAAUGCAUAUUAAAAUCUUGAACAGAUCAGCUGAAAAGUCAAAACUGAAAAAUGUGAUAGAGGCUAUUCUUGGACCCGUGCUGACUUUUAGUAAAGGCAGACUAAUUGCAAAGGGUUAAUGAGAUCAGAAAUGCAGGAUAUAUUCAGACAAAGGUGAGCAGA